Molecule: ribosomal RNA, 253 nt
Filed under: uncultured bacterium
Lineage: Bacteria
Description: partial 16S ribosomal RNA
Rfam family: Bacterial small subunit ribosomal RNA
Source: RNAcentral
UACGUAGGGUGCGAGCGUUAAUCGGAAUUACUGGGCGUAAAGCGUGCGCAGGCGGUUUUUUAAGACAGGCGUGAAAUCCCCGGGCUUAACCUGGGAACUGCGCUUGUGACUGGAAGGCUAGAGUAUGGCAGAGGGGGGUGGAAUUCCACGUGUAGCAGUGAAAUGCGUAGAGAUGUGGAGGAACACCGAUGGCGAAGGCAGCCCCCUGGGCCGAUACUGACGCUCAUGCACGAAAGCGUGGGGAGCAAACAGG